Molecule: ribosomal RNA, 500 nt
Filed under: uncultured Bacillota bacterium
Lineage: Bacteria; Bacillati; Bacillota
Description: uncultured Firmicutes bacterium partial 16S ribosomal RNA
Source: RNAcentral
CACGUAGUUAGCCGGGGCUUCUUAGUCAGGUACCGUCUGUUUCUUCCCUGCCGAUAGGGCUUUACGCACCGAGGUGCUCCUUCACCCACGCGGCGUCGCUGCAUCAGGGUUCCCCCCAUUGUGUAAUAUUCCCCACUGCUGCCUCCCGCAGGAGUCUGGGCCGUGUCUCAGUCCCAGUGUGGCCGUCCGCCCUCUCAGGCCGGCUACCGAUCGUCGCCUUGGUGGGCCGCUGCCCCGCAACUAGCUAAUCGGACGCGGGCCCAUCGCGCACCGUCCGGGUCGCCCCGGGCUUUCCCCGCAGGGCCAUGCGGCCCCCCGGGAAUACUGCGGUAUUAGCGGCCGUUUCCGGCCGUUGUCCCCCUGUGCGCGGCGGGUUGCCCACGCGUUACUCACCCGUCCGCCACUGGCCGCGCCUUCACUAGGUUUCAGGCGCGGCCCGUUCGACUUGCAUGUGUUAGGCACGCCGCCAGCGUUCAUCCUGACGCCAGGACUCAAACUCU